RNAcentral lists this long non-coding RNA (801 nucleotides) under Rattus norvegicus (Norway rat). RNAcentral describes it as "long non-coding RNA NONRATT005397". The record is from RNAcentral. Lineage: Eukaryota; Metazoa; Chordata; Mammalia; Rodentia; Muridae.
UGCUCCUCUCGUAGAGAGCCCACAUCAGUGGCUCAUAGGUGUCUGUAACUCCAGCCCCACGAAAUCUGACACUCUCUUCACAGUUAUUUGCAUAUGGUGUACUUACUGACAAACAGGAAAACACAUAUAUACAAAAUUUUUAAAUUAUUUUUUAAAUUUUUUAAAAAAGAAAUCAGUCAAUCAGAGGGAAAGCUCAACUGUAAAAUGUUGAGGGCUUUUACACUCCAACAUCCCUGACCUGUAGAUUAUUCUACUGCGUUCUGAAACGUCUUUGUUUCCUCGAGAGCGUAUCCCUUUCUUUCAGUACAGUGAGACCCAGGGCCAUGUGUGUGGCAGGCAGGUGUGUUCACCAUGCACAGAUGCCCAUGGCUUUCUGUCCUCCCUAGAGAGGCCCAGGCAGUCAGGGUGACUUGUCCUCAAGCCUUGUUGCUGUGUCAGGCAAGCCUUGCUGUUUACUCCAUGGUGGCUCUGUAUUGUUAUAAAGUUAUAAAAAAUAUAAUGCUGUCUUUUACCCUCUGCCAGAAAUAUACAUCUCAAUUCUGUUUAGUGUCCCAGCCGCCACACACUCUCUUAAACUUAAUUCGCCACAAGAAAGAACACACACUUUUCGGGCUGGAGAGAUGGCUCAGCGGUUAAGAGCACCCGACUGCUCUUCCAGAGGUCACGAGUUCAAUUCCCAGCAACCACAUGGUGGCUCACAACCAUCUGUAAAGAGUUCUGAUGCCCUCUUCUGGUGUAUCUGAAGACAGCUACAGUGUACUUAUAUAUAAUAAAUAAAUAAAUCUUAAAAAAAAAAAAAAA